AUGAACGCUGGCGGCGUGCCUAAUACAUGCAAGUCGAGCGAACGGACGAGAAGCUUGCUUCUCUGAUGUUAGCGGCGGACGGGUGAGUAACACGUGGAUAACCUACCUAUAAGACUGGGAUAACUUCGGGAAACCGGAGCUAAUACCGGAUGAUAUUUUGAACCGCAUGGUUCAAAAGUGAAAGACGGUCUUGCUGUCACUUAUAGAUGGAUCCGCGCUGCAUUAGCUAGUUGGUAAGGUAACGGCUUACCAAGGCAACGAUGCAUAGCCGACCUGAGAGGGUGAUCGGCCACACUGGAACUGAGACACGGUCCAGACUCCUACGGGAGGCAGCAGUAGGGAAUCUUCCGCAAUGGGCGAAAGCCUGACGGAGCAACGCCGCGUGAGUGAUGAAGGUCUUCGGAUCGUAAAACUCUGUUAUUAGGGAAGAACAAAUGUGUAAGUAACUAUGCACGUCUUGACGGUACCUAAUCAGAAAGCCACGGCUAACUACGUG
This 496-nucleotide ribosomal RNA is filed under the name uncultured bacterium. RNAcentral describes it as "partial 16S ribosomal RNA". It matches the Rfam family "Bacterial small subunit ribosomal RNA", at positions 29 to 507 of the family's 1533-position model. The record is from RNAcentral.